Phalacrocorax carbo (great cormorant) is the source of this 4625-nucleotide non-coding RNA. The record is from RefSeq and is a predicted model, not a curated record. Lineage: Eukaryota; Metazoa; Chordata; Aves; Suliformes; Phalacrocoracidae.
UCCUUACAAGGGAAGUAAAAAUCUGCUCUUUCCUCUUAGAAUCCAGACCUGCCUCGGUGCACAAAGGAUGGAUGAACACCAUAAUGACAAAAUACAUAAAAGAUAGGGCUUCACUUCCAGGAGAAUCAGACCAGUGCAUGGAUGCCAAAAUGAAACCGCUCUCCGCUCCAUUUUGAACGCUGUCAGUGGCGUACGGAGCCAGUGACGUGCCUGCCUAGAAAGGCGGCUACCUGCUCGUGCGGAGCAGUUCUACUCUUUGUCACCAAAUACUUCCCACAUGACACUGUCUUGUCAUCUUCACUGCUUCUGGAGAGACUUUGAGAAAUGACUCAUGGUGUGGUAUGCCCUACUUAGGAUACUUGAGAUGGUGCUUUUUCCGAGGUGCUUCCCCAAGCCUUUGACUGUCAGGUCUUGAAAGAAGAAUACCCUUGUAUCGUGAAAGGCAUAACUGCUCCUCCUCACUUGACUUCACAAGCACAUUUCAAACAGAACUGAAUUUAUGUGGUCAGCAAAGCUAUCAGCAAACAUACUGGUGAGUUAGAGGCAUCCAGAAACCUCUUGAUUAUGUGAUAAGGAACAGCACAAGUUCAAACAGAUCACCCACUGCUUCCUCAAGCCUUCCAAGCAGUGUCACUCCCUCCGUACUACCUGCUUCCUAUGGAAGCACCUACAUGUUUUUCCCCUAUAGAGGGGCAAACAGCUAUCAAACAUUUCCCUUUGAAGAAAAGAUCAUUUCACAUCUAUUCUGUGAUGAAUUACAGCAAGAGUUAUUGCCACCAGCCUGGAUACAUCAAUCUGUGCAUCUUCUCAUGUUUUAUAGCUUCUUAACUCUGACACUUAGGACAGCAUAUUAAUAAACUCAGCAAAAAAAAGCCAAUUGGAAAUCUUUCCCUUUCUUAGCUUAAUUUGUGAUGUAUUAAUCUGUCUGUUUGUCUCUAGCACUAAUCUUAGUGCCAAGGAAGCUGGCCAAAGAACUGCUCGCUCUUUGCAGGCGCACAAGGGAAACCACGAAGUUGUUGACUCGUGUGCAUACAUAUACAUAUAUGGAUGUGUGAGUAUGUCUCCCUAUCUCCAUAUUCUCUUUCUUGUGGAUACAAAAGCUAAUUCCACUUUAACAAAUUUCACGUAAACAUACAGUUUCAUAGUUGCAUUUGCAGGUUAUUAACCAGGUCAACAGCAGAAAUGCACCAAGCAUUUACAAAUCAAGGCAAAAGGUGCCCAAGUGAUAAGAAAGGCUGGGAAUUCAUUCUUGAGUAGCUGCCUCCUGGAAGGAAUGGGAAAUGCAAACUAAGAGAAGCAAGGAAUGCUACAGCCAAAUGUCAUUGCAUCUUACUGCUGAGCUUGCAAGGGCUUUUCAGGCAAUGAACAGGAAGGACAGCCUGCCUCACCUGCGGGGUGCUGCCAACUGGUCAGCUGGCUACAGAGAAAAGCUAAAGGGAGACUUAGGAUAAACAUUAAAAAGCAACUCAAGUUACACUGCAAAGGGCUUGGGUCCUUUAGAAAAUAUUAACCUGCACCGAUCAGCAUUUUUAAGCUUUUGCUUUUUUAAGGAAUAAAGGUAUAGUUUUGAUGGAAGACUUGAAGGGGAGGAAAAAACCAGCAUGUGCAUUACUCCUCUUGUAUCAGUGCAGUCCAGUUUAGCAGCCAUGAUUUACCAAAGACUUUACCCCCCACCUCCCUCAGGCAGCCUUUUUGUGCUGCCCACGGGGGCACCAGCAGCACCUCACCACAGCUGAUUUUGGACUCAUGAGACACCUGGAACAAUAGCUGUGUAAGUGCGAAUAGCAUGAGCCACCCUCUCUUCUACUGCUGGAGCUGAUGCUUUCUUGCCAAGCUGAUAAAAUAGCACAAUUCAUUAAAAAUGCUGUCUGAUAGCAGGAAAACUCUUAUUGUCUCUUUUUCCCAGGGCAGCCACAGCAAGAACAAUUCACAAGGCUCUUAUCCUAGCCUGGUCCCCUCUUUCUCUCCUGGCUGGCAUAGUAUUUCUGGCAUAUUUCUGGGAAGUAUGUCCAUCAGGGAAACAAAUGGUGUCUUUCCAUUCUUUUCUGUAAAGAGAGAUGUCAACUAUUGUAAUUCAGCAUAAAUUUCCAUAGAGUACUAAUCUCGUUUUUCAGUCGUGGACAUCUGAUCCUGUGGCACCUAACCCAUGGGGUUUUUUUUAAUUCAACAAGUGACUUUUCCCCUGCACAGAGAGAAGGGCAGAAAUGGAUGGAAGGCAUGGUGAAGGUGAGGAGGUAGAAGCACAGGAGGCAAAUAGUCCGAGUCCUGCAGCAUUCUCCCCAGUGAUCUGUUUGCUCAGCCAAGUGAAUCCAAAAGUUGAUCCUGGUUGUACUAGUGCAACCUAUUGUAACAAAACGCGUGGGAAGACUAUAAAUGUGAGGAAUGUCCUGCGCCUCUGCGUGCUGUCCAGGAUCUUUGGUGCCAUGUGUCAUGGCAACAAUGCUGUCAAAGCUGACUCUUAAAGAAUCACCCUUUGACAGCUUUGUCUCCUAACAACUGCGUAGCUGUCAGCUCAUGGGAAUUCCUCUUUCUCCGGAGGAUGCAGAAUGCCAGCUGAGAAACGCCAGUUCAUUAUCCCAUAGCAGACAAAACAAAUAUUGUGUUUCCCCUGAACCAGCUAUAUAUAGAAUUAAUCUGACCCUGGUAAGACUUUGUGAGAUAGCUCGGGUUCAACUCAGGCAAGGGCAAAUGCUGCUCCCCAAAAGGAUUUCUCUACAGGCUGGCAGAUGCACUUGUUGAGUUACGUCUCCUCUCCCAGGAGUGAUCUGUUACAUAAAGAAUAGAUGGUGAGCUAUAUCUGUUCAGCAUUUGGGAAAUACAGAAACAAUUGGGAGCUUGUCCGUGCAGUGGGGUGAAGUUAAGCGAAGUAACUUGUUGCCUAAUGUCUUUAGCGCCUCUAAAUGAGGAGCCCAGACAAUUAUUUAGUAAAAAUACUGAUUCACUGAUUCACUGUGCUUUUUGUAUUACAGUACUAGAGCAGAAAUUGAAAACUUCUGUCAACUAUCUGGGUGAGAACCCCUUUGAGUCACUUUUUGUGUAGCUAAAGCAUGAUUAAAGUCACAUUUUUCUCUUCUAUGGCUAUGUGUAAGACCUGAUCCUGUAGCUUCACUAAAAGAAUGACCUGUUGAUCAUAAUGGGAGCUUUUCCUGCAGAGCAGUGUUUUCUUCUAUUAUUAAUGGCAUUUGGCUGUGCAGUAGUUGCACAGUUUUCUAUUAGAGGUGAAGAAAUAAUUCAAAUUUGUAUUCCUUUUAAAAAGCGACGCUCACUGUCUCUCCAUCUUUCUGGUGCGGAUUCCCAUCAUCACAGCAGGACGUGCUGGUGACUGAAUGGCUCAGUUGCCGUCUUGUCCUGGCUUUUCACCGUCUUGAGUUUCAAGCAGCAUUUCAUUAAUAGUGUGAGAGGUGUCCAUUAAGGCUUUAGAGCCAGCGGUGUUGUUCCAGCAUCUGCAAGCGAUGCUAAGUGUGUUCAAACUUUGCAGCCGUCUAGCAGUCAGCCCGUGUGGUAUGCAUUUGUAUUUGGUGGUGAUCCAAAUUCUCCUUUGUUGUGGUCACACAAACUGUUCAACAGCAGUGACCAGCCGUCACCUUCAGUCACCCAGUAGUGCACAUAAAGGUUGUGCAUUUGUUAUCAGGGACAUCAGACUCACCGUUAGGUAGCUGUUUUCACUAAAAUUAUCAAUAAUUUUCAGUGUAAAAAAGAUAAUAGGAUCAUAGGACUGGAAGGGAACUCUUCUCAUCACAUCCUUCCUCCCCACCUCUGGCUUUCUGCUCCUGGCAGACAUUUCUUUAACUUCUGCUUUAAAAAAAAACUGUUAUGGAGGCUGCACGCUCUUCCCAGGCAACCUUUUUUUCUGCUCCUUAUUGUUAGAAAAUUUUCCAUACUUUUCCUUGCAAUAGUUUAAGUCUGUUGCUUGCCUUCUACCUUGUGGAAAUUGUUCCCUUCAUCUUUGUAGCUGCAGACUGCCGGCAAGUCACAGCUGUAUUAAAAAAAAAAAAAAAUCAUAUCGAUCUACUGCUGGUGAUUUUGUCAAAUAGAUGAAAUUUCACUCUGUGUAUUGAUGACUUUUCUGUCACAACUUUUAAACUGUAUCUCCCUUUUCAGUAUCUAUUCCUUUCUCCUGAAAGCGAAUGUGCUAUUUACAUAUGCUUCCUCAAGUACAUUUUGCAAAGCAAUUUUCUUCUCACUGUCACUGCCAGCAGGUGACUCUGUGUAGCGUCAGUCACAAACCACCUGGGUUUGCAUCCUUUUCUGUAUUUUCUGUAUGAAACAUUUUCUCCUUUCUAAAUACAGCUUUCUUUGAGAGUGCUUAACCAGUCUGCAGUCCAUCUUCUGUUGGAAGCAUGGUUUUCAUCAUCCUGCAUUAAUUCUGUAGUGUGACACAGCUUUUUUUCUUUGCUGGGGGGCAGCUUUGCCCUUUCACACUCGUUGCUCCAGCAGGACAAAAUUACAGGAAAAUACUCACUAUAGGGCAAGGUAGACAAUAAAUAUUAUGUUGAUGACUGUAACUGACCCAUUUUGUAUUACUGCAUAUGAUGAAUUUUACCAUCACUCCCACAAGACCGCGUGAACACAAGCUAUUAUGUAAUGUUAAUUUGUGAGUAAACUGAUAUUUCGUUAAUCUUAUU